Molecule: long non-coding RNA, 693 nt
Filed under: Ananas comosus (pineapple)
Lineage: Eukaryota; Viridiplantae; Streptophyta; Magnoliopsida; Poales; Bromeliaceae
Description: long non-coding RNA (ACOM_LNC006106)
Source: RNAcentral
ACACCCAAACAUAAAUUUCGUACCCAAGAACAGUAAUUUUCGGGUUCAUAAAAUAAAUUGAUAUAACUCGGUAUAUGUCUGCAACUACUGUUCCACCGUCUUUUCUGAAACAAGCUUGUUCCCAAGUGAGGAUAAAAUUAAUUAAAGUCUAAAUUUAAUUUUAGUUAUGAUAUUAAUCAUUAAUUAGAUAUUUAAGUCACAUCCUUUGCUUAAAUAAUAAAAUAAUUAAAUAUUAAUAAUUUAAUGUGUUUAUUUAUAAACUAAUAUUUAUUAUAUAUAUUGAUCAACUAUUAAUAUUUUUAUUAAUCUAAUUAAUUUUUUUACUAGUUAUCUAACUAAAAUAAUUUACUAACUAAUUAAAAAGUUAAAUUAUUUUUUAUAUCUAAUUAAUUAAUUAAUUAAUAUAUUUUCAUUAUCUUAUACAAUAUUCAUAACUAAUAAAUUUAUUAAUAUAUUAAAUUAUUUUUAAUUAAUAUUUUGAUAUUAAUUAAUUCGAUAAAAUAUUUUUAAUUUAAAAUUAUAAGUUUUUUUCUUUUUCUUUUUUCCAAUCUAACCAUUCAAAUCUUAUUUACCUUAUCUCCGGUAACAAUCUAAUUUUCAUCGAAAUGUAAAAUUAGUCUAAUUUCUUUCUAUAUCUGAACUUGUAUAUAUCUCUAAAAUAAACAAUUAUUACUUAGAGCCGAAUCAAACACA